Molecule: long non-coding RNA, 581 nt
Filed under: Eucalyptus grandis
Lineage: Eukaryota; Viridiplantae; Streptophyta; Magnoliopsida; Myrtales; Myrtaceae
Description: long non-coding RNA (EGRA_LNC007335)
Source: RNAcentral
AACCGCCCAAGCGACAGAAAGAGAGGAAGAGGACUUCUUUGGAAACCUAGAACUUACCGAUCCAACGAUCAAGAUCAAAAGCAAGGAUCGGAUGGUACCCGUGCAUUCCGAACUGACGGUGGGAUUAUAGGCGUCGAAAUGGAUCUGACGGUCUUUAUGCUGUGCGAUUUGACGGGCAUGCAUUGGAACGUCUCUCGUGUGUUUGUCUGGAUUUCAUAGGGAUUCAUCUGCCUGUUUUGCGUACAUCCGAGUUCCUCCGCCGCUCGAAUCAGGUCAAUUAGUCGACAGUCAGUUUGCCGAAGCGAGCUUGUUCGCAUCGUUGUCGCAUUGGAAUAUCGUCGGGAUUUAGGAACGUCUCCUGUGCUUGUCUGGAUUUCGUAGGUGCAUUUCGCGGUUGCGAUGAUUUUAGAAAACUGCAAAGUUCGGGAGGCCUCUCAGCACGUUUAUGGAGUGUUUAUGGAGUUCUGAUGUGGUUGGUUGCUGGCUGCUGUGUUGAAUGGGACUGAUUUCAUCUGUAAAACAAAGAUGGUGGUAUUAGGGAGGAGGAUUAGUGUGUUUAAGCAUCUGAUUCGGUGGUUUUU